UACGUAGGGUGCGAGCGUUAAUCGGAAUUACUGGGCGUAAAGCGUGCGCAGGCGGUUUUGUAAGUCUGUCGUGAAAGCCCCGGGCUCAACCUGGGAAUUGCGAUGGAGACUGCAAGGCUUGAAUCUGGCAGAGGGGGGUAGAAUUCCGCGUGUAGCAGUGAAAUGCGUAGAGAUGUGGAGGAACACCGAUGGCGAAGGCAGCCCCCUGGGUCAAGAUUGACGCUCAUGCACGAAAGCGUGGGGAGCAAAUAGG
This 253-nucleotide ribosomal RNA is filed under the name uncultured bacterium. RNAcentral describes it as "partial 16S ribosomal RNA". It matches the Rfam family "Bacterial small subunit ribosomal RNA", at positions 524 to 776 of the family's 1533-position model. The record is from RNAcentral.